Molecule: ribosomal RNA, 481 nt
Filed under: uncultured bacterium
Lineage: Bacteria
Description: bacterial SSU rRNA
Rfam family: Bacterial small subunit ribosomal RNA
Source: RNAcentral
GAUGAACGCUAGCGGCAGGCCUAACACAUGCAAGUCGAGGGGUAGAGGAAGCUUGCUUCCUUGAGACCGGCGCACGGGUGCGUAACGCGUAUGCAAUCUACCUUGUACAGAGGAAUAGCCCAGAGAAAUUUGGAUUAAUGCCUCAUAGUAUAUUGAUUCGGCAUCGGAUUAAUAUUAAAGUUUCGGCGGUACAAGAUGAGCAUGCGUCCCAUUAGUUAGUUGGUAAGGUAACGGCUUACCAAGACAAUGAUGGGUAGGGGUCCUGAGAGGGAGAUCCCCCACCACUGGUACUGAGACACGGACCAGACUCCUACGGGAGGCAGCAGUGAGGAAUAUUGGGCAAUGGGCGGAAGCCUGACCCAGCCAUGCCGCGUGCAGGAAGACGGUCCUAUGGAUUGUAAACUGCUUUUAUACGGGAAGAAACACCCCCUCGUGAGGGGACUUGACGGUACCGUAAGAAUAAGGAUCGGCUAACUCCGUG